RNAcentral lists this ribosomal RNA (433 nucleotides) under uncultured bacterium. RNAcentral's name for it is "bacterial SSU rRNA". It matches the Rfam family "Bacterial small subunit ribosomal RNA", at positions 29 to 506 of the family's 1533-position model. The record is from RNAcentral.
GCGAACGCUGGCGGCAGGCUUAAUACAUGCAAGUCGAGCGCCUGUAGCAAUACGGGAGCGGCAGACGGGAGAGUAACACGUGGGAACGUGCCCUUUGGUUAGGAACAACACAGGGAAACUUGUGCUAAUACCGAAUAAGCCCUUACGGGGAAAGAUUUAUUGCCAAAGGAUCGGCCCGCGUCUGAUUCGCUUGUUGGUGAGGUAAUGGCUCACCAAGGCGACGAUCAGUAGCUGGUCUGAGAGGAUGAUCAGCCUCAUUGGGACUGAGACACGGCCCAAACUCCUACGGGAGGCAGCAGUAGGGAAUAUUGGACAAUGGGCGCAAGCCUGAUCCAGCCAUGCCGCGUGAGUGAUGAAGGCCUUAGGGUUGUAAAGCUCUUUCGGCGGGGAAGAUAAUGACGGUACCCGCAUAAGAAGCCCCGGCUAACUUCGU